Molecule: ribosomal RNA, 465 nt
Filed under: Vreelandella stevensii
Lineage: Bacteria; Pseudomonadati; Pseudomonadota; Gammaproteobacteria; Oceanospirillales; Halomonadaceae
Description: partial 16S ribosomal RNA
Rfam family: Bacterial small subunit ribosomal RNA
Source: RNAcentral
CCUACGGGUGGCUGCAGUGGGGAAUAUUGGACAAUGGGGGGAACCCUGAUCCAGCCAUGCCGCGUGUGUGAAGAAGGCCCUCGGGUUGUAAAGCACUUUCAGUGAGGAAGAACGCCUGGUGGUUAAUACCCAUCAGGAAAGACAUCACUCACAGAAGAAGCACCGGCUAACUCCGUGCCAGCAGCCGCGGUAAUACGGAGGGUGCGAGCGUUAAUCGGAAUUACUGGGCGUAAAGCGCGCGUAGGUGGCUUGAUAAGCCGGUUGUGAAAGCCCCGGGCUCAACCUGGGAACGGCAUCCGGAACUGUCAAGCUAGAGUGCAGGAGAGGAAGGUAGAAUUCCCGGUGUAGCGGUGAAAUGCGUAGAGAUCGGGAGGAAUACCAGUGGCGAAGGCGGCCUUCUGGAUUGACACUGACACUGAGGUGCGAAAGCGUGGGUAGCAAACAGGAUUAGAUACCCUGGUAGUC